CUGAUAUCUCUGGAGGCUGGAGUCUGUUUACACACAGAAUAAAGACAUAAGAGCAAAAAAAAAAAACAACUGCAGAAGCUUCCCAUGGCAACUUGCCUUGAAGCUGUCUUUGAACGACCACCUCGAGGGGUGACAGAACAUUUCAGCUUCUGUGGCUCACUCAAUCCUGUGGCCUUC
Molecule: small RNA, 177 nt
Filed under: Anas platyrhynchos platyrhynchos (common mallard)
Lineage: Eukaryota; Metazoa; Chordata; Aves; Anseriformes; Anatidae
Description: TUC338 (ENSAPLG00000025715.1)
Source: RNAcentral